Molecule: ribosomal RNA, 301 nt
Filed under: uncultured bacterium
Lineage: Bacteria
Description: partial 16S ribosomal RNA
Rfam family: Bacterial small subunit ribosomal RNA
Source: RNAcentral
CAGCCGCCGCGGGAAUACGAAGGGGGCUAGCGUUGUUCGGAUUUACUGGGCGUAAAGGGCGCGUAGGCGGACUGAUAAGUCAGGGGUGAAAUCCCAAGGCUCAACCUUGGAACUGCCUUUGAUACUGUUUGUCUUGAGUUCGAGAGAGGUAAGUGGAACUGCGAGUGUAGAGGUGAAAUUCGUAGAUAUUCGCAAGAACACCAGUGGCGAAGGCGGCUUACUGGCUCGAAACUGACGCUGAGGCGCGAAAGCGUGGGGAGCAAGCAGGAUUAGAUACCCCGGUAGUCCCUGUCUCUUAUAC